AUUGACGUUACUCGCAGAAGAAGCACCGGCUAACUCCGUGCCAGCAGCCGCGGUAAUACGGAGGGUGCAAGCGUUAAUCGGAAUUACUGGGCGUAAAGCGCACGCAGGCGGUUUGUUAAGUCAGAUGUGAAAUCCCCGCGCUUAACGUGGGAACUGCAUUUGAAACUGGCAAGCUAGAGUCUCGUAGAGGGGGGUAGAAUUCCAGGUGUAGCGGUGAAAUGCGUAGAGAUCUGGAGGAAUACCGGUGGCGAAGGCGGCCCCCUGGACGAAGACUGACGCUCAGGUGCGAAAGCGUGGGGAGCAAACAGGAUUAGAUACCCCGGUAGUCAAGCG
This 333-nucleotide ribosomal RNA is filed under the name Serratia odorifera. RNAcentral's name for it is "bacterial SSU rRNA". It matches the Rfam family "Bacterial small subunit ribosomal RNA", at positions 468 to 801 of the family's 1533-position model. The record is from RNAcentral. Lineage: Bacteria; Pseudomonadati; Pseudomonadota; Gammaproteobacteria; Enterobacterales; Yersiniaceae.